GGCCCCUCCUGGACCUACCGAAGCAGAACCUCUGGGGGUGGGCCCUGGCAUCUGUGCCUUAUCGAGUUUUCUGGUGAUUCGUAUGACUGUUAAGGUUUGACAAGCACUGACCUACAGGGGUGCCCCACCUCUGCCCAGGAGCACUCCCAUCUCCGGAUCCUACAGGAGGCCUCCCAGUACUUCCUACCCCCAGGGCAAACCAAUGACAAGACCCAUCAGGUACCAGAUCAAAAGGGGCAAUAGACUUACCAUGCGUAAAUAAUAUACCCUGCAAGUUAUUCUCUGUGGUUAUCAAAACCGUGCUGGGCUGCAUCAAGCAGAGUGUUAUGGGCUGAACUGUGUCCCCCCAGAACUCAGAAGUUGAAGUCUUAACUCCCAGUACUGCAGAAUGUGACUGCAUUUGGAGACAAGGCCUUUAAAGAGGUAAUUAAAUUAAAAUGAAGUCAUUAGGGUGGGCCCUAAUCCAAUAGGACUGUCUCCUUAUAAGGAGAGACUAGGACGCAGACACAUGCGUGCGAAGACACAGGGAGAAGACGGCCAUCUGUAAGCCAAGGAGAGAGGCCUGGAACACAUCGUUUCCUCAUAGCCCUCAGAACGAACAGCCCUGCCCUCACCUUGGUCUCGGAACACCAGCCUGCAGAGUUGCGAGAGAAUGUGUUGCUGUUGGUAGAGCCACCCACUCUGUGGUGCUUUGUCACACGGCCUAGCAAACCACUACAUAGCACAAACAUCUACUCGCCUCGAAACAAUGAACUCUGAUGUACAAAAUGUUCCCGAGAGACAGCUUCUGAGAUAGAUAAUGUUUAAAGAAAAGAAGGAGUGCCUUACUGAUCACUUCAUAAGAUGAGGACCCCUUCCCACUGUUACAAGACCACAGACCCCAGCAGCACAGAACUGCUCUCUACCCAACCCACGAGCCACAUGAAUCACUCAGUGACAACUUUCACACAAUUGCACCUGUUUCCGACAAUGAGCGCAACUAUAUAAUUAAAUAAAUUAAGAAGGCAAGGCCACUGGAUCAGAUAGCUUAUCCUUAGAUCCAUGAAUAUAUUUGGCAGGAACAUUAAGUCUUGAUAAAGAUGGUUCCAGAGUGUUUAAUCUGAGUUGUUGUCAGAAGCCGUGUCUGGAACAACCACUUCACUGUGAAGCCCAAAGCCCCAGUGAGACCUUGUCUGUCCCUGUGGCUGUUGGGAUGAGAGCUCUAGGGACCGGGGGAAGGGGGUGGCAGAGAGCAACUGACUUCCAUUUAAACUCAGUUGUCUGCCCAAGACUUCCAUUUCAUUGAAAUUGGCCCAUUCUGGCAUUGUCGACUAGGGAAGAAGAAUGCAUUUCCCCCAUGUCCCCCACACAGGCCAACCUGAGUGUCCGGAAAAUAGCCUCCCACAGGGGGAACCUAUGAAUGACCCUGCUAUCAAGAAACACAUCCAAUGAUCACCUGAUAUGGGAGGCAUCGACUCAUUGUGGUACUUUAACUGCCCACCCAUCUGUAGAACACAGAAGACCAGGAGCAUCAAUGAUUCCCAGCUUCUGACACAUAACGCUGAUUUUCAGAGAAAAGAAAAUUAUUUAAGCCAAAUUGCAUAACUAAUAUCUAAUCUGUAAACAUAUUUGAAACUUGGCAAAAAUCAGAGCUAGCUGGCCUUGAACCUGCAGCCCUGUGCAUCUGUGCACAGGUGGGAGUCCUGAGCAUAUUCUCUGAUGGCUGCCCAUAGGCCACGAGAUGUCAUCAUAUGGACCUGUCCAGAGGUCCACAAUUUGGGCCCUGCACAGAGAAUACAAUAAAUCGAUUGUGUGGGCUGACGAAUUACGUACUGAAGGAGAAGUUCACUCUAGGGUGGGCAUUAACCUGCAGAUGACGGCUGCCCCAGUGGAGAGGCGGUCAGACGCCGGUUCGGCAGGCCUGCUUGCCUCUGUGCUGGAGGUGGUGCAGCCCUGAGCAAAGUGCGCUCCAGUGCGGACCUCCUCAAAAGGGGUCAGGCAAGGCCAAGAAAAAAGCCCACUGACUCAAUCUCCACAUAAACAAGAUGCAAAAUUUCUUGAAAGGUCUGCAGGAAUCAAAGCACCUGUUUUGACAACUGUGCCCCAGGGCGCGCUGCCUAGCAGACAGGAGUUGGCUAAGCCGAGGAAAGAGGAGGACACUCACCGAGAACUGGACCCAAUUCUCACGUCACACCACAAGGCGGGAGAUGGAGCUCAUUUUACAGAUGAGGAACCCGAGACCUGGAUUACAUGCCUCUGCCAAGUGGGAGGAGCCAGCACUGGACAUGGGUGGUCUGACUCAAAUCCAGCCCUGUGGGCGACAUGGGGACUAAUCCCUGCCACAAAAAAAUAUCCCCCGUGCACUAGCCACCAGCGGUCAGCAAUAGCUUUUGUUUUUAGGGGAAUCAGAGGACACUCUGGUAGCCAAUUUCCAAGAUCCUCUCUUCCUGGCAUCCACCCCUCCCACACUGAGUCAAGGCUGGCCAUUAUGACUAGUAGAAUGUGGCAUGAGCACGGUGUGACCUCCAAGACUAGGUCAUAAAAAGCAGUGCAGCCUCCUCCUGGGUCUCUUGAAUCGCUCCCCCUGGGGGAGGCCAGCUGCCAUGUCUUGAGGACACUCAGGCAGCCCUGCGGAGAAGCCCACGGGGAGAGGAACUGAGGCCCCAGCCGAUGCCAGCACCAACUUUCCAGCCACUUCAGAAGAACUACAAAAGUGCUCCAUAUUCUGAUGGCCCCAUGCACACGCCUUGAGAAGAAGUGCCAUCCUUGAUUCCUGCUGAAACUACCUCCCUCAUAUCCCAAAUUGGCCUGUUCUUCUCCGCCUCAAAAAAAAGUUUGCUGGGCCCUGAUCUUCCCUUCGAACAUGAAGCUCUGCAGAGGGUCCUUGCGUGUGACAAUCAGGAAGUCUGUGUCCUCCAUGAGACACGCAUGACUUGCUAACCUCCAGGUGGUCAGCACCGGGCCCAGUGUUUGCUCGACUGAAUGGCACGGAAUCAACACAAGCUGCUCCCCAGGCUGAAGAGCUUGUACAGGUGACUCCUGUUGGCCCCAUCCUCUAGAGUGUCCACCCAGCUCCACCCAGGCCCGAAGAUCAGCCCCAAACUCCAAACAGAGCAAAGCCGCAGCCCACGCUCCCAUUUGAGCUGGGGCACCUCUGAGUCAGCUCCUGCCUGAACCUCAUGCUGCCCAGAGGGAGACUCCAUCGGCUCGGGCAGGGCCCAGACUAGCUGGAGGACUAAAGGACGGGCCGGUCAACCCUUCAGCAGGCUCAGCUUGCCCCCAGAGGCGCACACAGAAGCGGCCACAGCCUGAGGUCAGGCGUGAACGGUUCCCCCGGUCCAAACAUACAUGUGCUGCUGGAGUUGCUGUCAUCUCUUGAUGGAUGGUUCCAUUGGAAAAGGCCAAGAGUGACAAGGGGUCCCCUCAAGCCUGGUUUGUACCGGGGCUCACGUCAGUCUGGGUGGUCUCCGGCCUGCGCUAUCGCCAGCCCCCCUCCUGGGCUCCAGUGCUCUCGUUCAACAGGAGUCAAUCCUACGACCCUCACAAGCCUCUGGGUCUGCAAGCGGAGAGGAGGACUGAACCACCCGCACAAGGAGGCUGGCGGUUUGGGCCCAGGGCGCUGUAGACUGCCCGAGGGAACUUUCCAGGUGAUGAAAGCAGGGCACGGAGGGCAGGCAAGGCAAGAAUUCUUUUCCUGGAGGUUGAGCAACUCUGCUGCCCCUGCUCUUGCUGGGGGGCUGUCCUCAGCCCCUGUCCCUGCUGUGGCCUCCCUUCCUCCAUCUCUCCUCCCAGCCUUCCUUCCUUCCCCACACUUAGGACCCUGGGCCUUGGCCAGGACCAUGCCAACAAACCCGCGUGUUCACGGGCCUCUCCUCUCCUCUCCUACCCCUGCACACUCUGAUUGUGCUCUCCCAACCCCCCACUUCUUGGAAGCAGACAGCAGCUCCCUGGGGGAUGCUGGUGGGCUCAUCCCGGUCCCAAAGGGUGAGUCAUAAUUCAACCCUCCCAGUGGUUGGAUCAGGCAUGGACAUUCCAGACCAUCCUGACUAAAGAGACAAGAGGGGGCAUCUUCUAGAGGCUUCUGGGGAAGGUUGUCCUUGUUGUUGAGAUGAGACACCAAGAGGAGGACAGGAAAGAGCAGUGCCUCCCCUGUCACCGUCCACUCCCGUUGCUGGGCAUGGUGUCCGGACAGCGCGGGCAGCUUGUGCGGGGCAGGCCUCCUGUAGGCCAAAACGCGGAGGAAGGGGGAGAGAACCCAUGUUCUUGAUGAUGUUACCAGGCGAUGAAUUAAUUGAUUCUGGAAUCCCUCUGACUCCCGAAUUUGAGAUAUGUGAGAAAAUACACUUCCUUUGUCAUUUAAACCAUUUUGAAUUCAUUUGCAUGUUACUUGCAGCUAAAUUAGCUAGGCUCCAACAAGCUUUGGAGGGCCUGCCACCUCAUGAAACACAACUCCAUGAACCUGAGGCCUUUCCCCUCCAAGACACUGCCUCUUGCCCCAUAGAGUCUCCCCGGGGGCAUUUGUACCAGCCCCCAAAGCCAACGUGCUCCCUGACCACAUCCAAAGCAGAAGCUCGAUUUUGAAGCUUUCGUAUUUGCCUCCUCGUCCUUCCGCUUUCUCCUGCCACGUGCGAAGAUAUUGCAAAUUUUAUUUAAAACUGAAUCAUCAAACUUCUGCUUCUAGUAGUGAUGAGUAGUUAGUUCAAUUGAGAUAAAAUUCCUGGGGAGACAAGAUAAAAGCUGAAUACACUAUGAAAACAUCAGCUUAAGAGCGUGGGAGAGCUGGAAAUGGUGUGGAGAAUUCCUCCGGUAUUGGAGUGAAGGUGGAGACCCCCAAGAGGUGUGCUGGCCUCAGGGCUGCUUUUCCUUGUUUUCGGAGCAUUUUCCAGUUUCAGAGGGGCCAGGAGAGGCAGAGCGGCACAUUUAACAGCCUCGAAGAGCGGUAACUGAAGUCAAGGUGGGAACACAACGCAAAGCCAAGGAAAACUGACCGGUGUGAAAGAGCAUUCUUUUCAGUAUGUGAUGCUGGGGCAGCUGGUGAUCCACAAGGAAAUGAAAGAGAAAGCGAGUGUCCUCACACCAUACACACACAUUUGUAAGUCUAAAUGUGAAAGGCAAAACAAUACUUUUAGACAAAAAUAUAAAAGAAUGUUUUCUUGAACAUGGGCUAGAGAAAGAGCAAUUAAACUAGAUGUAAAAAGCGUUUCCAUAAAGGGAAAGACUUGAUAAACUAUUCUAUAAUAGUUCUAGGACCCUCUGGUCUCAAAAUACACCUGUAGGAAGGGACAAAAUACACCACAAUGAGGGGCCAGCCAGGUUGCAUAGUGGUUGGGUUCUCACACUUUGCUUUGGUGGCCCAGGGUUCAUGGGUUCGGAUCCCAGGCAAGGACCUACACACUGCUCAUCAAGCCAUGCUGUGGCGGUAUCCCACAUACAAAAUAGAGGAAGAUGGGCACAGAUGUUGGCUCAGGUCCAAUCUUCCUCACCCCCCCCCCCCCCCCGCCAAAAAAAAGUAUGCCACAAAUUGAGAGGAGAUGUCUGGAGGGUACUGACCUUACAAAGGGCUCUCUUCCCGUGUACAUAAGGGAUUUCUACACAUUAAGAAAAUGACGAUCAAAAAGAAAACUGAGCAAAAGACUUUAAAUGACCAAUAAAUCUAUGAAUAGAUACUUAAGUUGAUUAAUAAUCAAGGAAAAUUAAAUCAAAACCACAACGCAAUGAAUGGCCCAAAUGGAAGAGCCUGACUGUAGCAAGGUUUUGGUAUGACAUGACGUGACAGAGCUCUCACCCUCCGUGGUAAGAGUUUCCAUAAGUACAGCCACUUUGCAAGACAGCUUGACAUCAUUUAUUACAGCCAAGGACACAAAUCAUGUCACACCGAGCCAUUUCACCCCAAGGUAUGUUCCCAACGGAACUGCAUGGACAUGUUCACCAGGAGAUAAAUGCAAUACUCAUUGCAGCAGUAUUUGUAACAGCCUCAAACUGAAGAUAACCCAAAUGUACAUCAAUAACAGAGAUAUAUUCAUAAAGUGUUUUGCUAGACAGGAAUGAAAAGCAAUGAUCCACAGCUAAAUAUAGCAGGCCAGCUACAACAGAACAUGUACUGCAUGCUUUCAUUAAGAUAAAGAUCAAACCACCAAAACUAAACCAUGGCACUCACUUGCUCAAGAACAGCAAGAAGGUGAUUUCCAUCAAAGUCAGGAUAAUUGCUACCUUCAGAGGCAGGGGCAAGUGAGGGGUCCUUGGGAGUGGCAAUGUUAUCCUUCUUGACCUGGGUACUGGUUAUGCAGGUAUAAUUGUGAUAAAUUACCUUGGCUUUGCAUAAUUUUCUGAUUGUGUUUUAUAUUUUGCAAUAGAAAGAAGAUAAAAGGAAAAUUUGCACUCGCCCACCAUUCAGCGAAGGCUUCUGGGUCUAGGCCGGUCCCCCUCUGCUCUCCAGCACCGCCACACAGUGUUCACCCCAGACUCAGUGUCCCUCGGACUGCCAUGUGCUUUGUUCUGCACACUGUGGAUCUGGUAACUGGUCAUGUCUCCUCCUUUGGUUUCGGUGCAGGAAGGUUACCAUACCUGGGACCACUCGGGGCGCAGUUGCACGUCUUCCUGUGAGCUGAUCUUACUUAGGGUGUUAUUAUGUUUUCUACUCCUCAUUUUUCUACGAAACUUCCUCAGUGAUUCAUUUGAUCCUUUCUUAUUGUAUGUAUUUUGAUAAGCAAUUUUAUCUUUUUUCAUUUUGUAACUUUUUUUUUUUGAGGAAGUUUAGCCCUGAGCUAACAUCUGCUGCCAGUCCUCCACUUUUUGCUGAGGAAGACUGGCCCUGAGCUAAUAUCCGUGUCCAGCUUACUCUACUUUAUAUGUGGGACGCCUGCCACAGCAUGGCGUGCCAAGCGGUACCAUAUCUGCACCCAGGAUCUGAACCGGUGAACCUAGGGUCGCUGAAGCAGAACUUGUGAACUUAACCGCUGCGCCACCAGGCCGGGCCCAAUAUAAUAGUUUUUAUAAGUGGUAUUGUCCCAAUUCUCUAUUGCUGAGCCACCAACAACAGUAAACUUUAAUGCAUUGAAACAAUUCUGAUGCUUCUUCCUCAGCACGCAGCCGCCUGGCUGGGUAACGGAUAUGCUGGACUGGAACAUCCACAGUGGUUUCUCCACUGGGCUGGGCGUUCUUUCUCUCCACGCGGCUUCCCCAGCAGGGUAGCUCCAUCUCUUCACAGGAGACUCAGGGCUCCUAGGGACGGUGUUCCAAGAAGACGAGCCUAGCAUGAGCUGUUGUCAAGCCUCCUUGUCCUGCUCACUAACAUCCAUUGGUCAAAGCAUGCACAGGGUCAAGGUCAUUGGGAGGGGACAACACAAGGUGUGAGUACCAGGGCUCAUCCGAGGCCACCAAAAUAAAUACAUGUAUGUUGUAAUCAUAAAUAAUAAUAAAUAUGGAUAUACAGGAAUAAUCAAAUACCUGUAUUCAGGAACACAUGCUGCAAUAGAAAGACUUAAAAUAUUUGUAUGUUUCUGUGCACUUUUUCCUUCUCCGAUGAUUUGACCAAGACCUCACUAGAGACAAAAGCUUCCAGUUACUCGACGCACUCUCCAUUCACAGCAUCACUGGUUGGGAAGUUUUCCAAGAGU
Molecule: long non-coding RNA, 7595 nt
Organism: Equus caballus (horse)
Lineage: Eukaryota; Metazoa; Chordata; Mammalia; Perissodactyla; Equidae
Source: Ensembl